AGCGGACUUAUCCUUCGGGAUAGGUUAGCGGCGGACGGGUGAGUAACACGUAGGCAACCUGCCUGUAAGAUCGGGAUAACUACCGGAAACGGUAGCUAAGACCGGAUAGCUGGUUUCUCCGCAUGGGGGAAUCAUGAAACAUGGGGCAACCUGUGGCUUACGGAUGGGCCUGCGGCGCAUUAGCUAGUUGGUGGGGUAAUGGCCCACCAAGGCGACGAUGCGUAGCCGACCUGAGAGGGUGAUCGGCCACACUGGGACUGAGACACGGCCCAGACUCCUACGGGAGGCAGCAGUAGGGAAUCUUCCGCAAUGGGCGCAAGCCUGACGGAGCAACGCCGCGUGAGUGAUGAAGGUUUUCGGAUCGUAAAGCUCUGUUGCCAAGGAAGAACGCCUCGGAGAGUAACUGCUCUGAGGGUGACGGUACUUGAGAAGAAAGCCCCGGCUAACUACGUGCCAGCAGCCGCGGUAAUACGUAGGGGGCAAGCGUUGUCCGGAAUUAUUGGGCGUAAAGCGCGCGCAGGCGGUCUUUUAAGUUUGGUGUUUAAGCCCGGGGCUCAACCCCGGUUCGCACUGAAAACUGGGAGACUUGAGUGCAGGAGAGGAAAGCGGAAUUCCACGUG
This 620-nucleotide ribosomal RNA is filed under the name Bacillus subtilis. RNAcentral's name for it is "bacterial SSU rRNA". It matches the Rfam family "Bacterial small subunit ribosomal RNA", at positions 65 to 675 of the family's 1533-position model. The record is from RNAcentral. Lineage: Bacteria; Bacillati; Bacillota; Bacilli; Caryophanales; Bacillaceae.